UACGAAGGGGGCGAGCGUUAUUCGGAAUCACUGGGCGUAAAGCGUGCGUAGGCCGUCUAGCAAGUUGGAAGUGAAAGCCCAGGGCUCAACCCUGGAAUUGCUUUCAAAACUGCAAGACUAGAAUCUCGGAGAGGAUAGCGGAAUUCCCAGUGUAGUAGUGAAAUACGUAGAUAUUGGGAGGAACACCAGUGGCGCAAGCGGCUAUCUGGACGAGUAUUGACGCUGAGGCACGAAAGCGUGGGGAUCAAACAGG
This 253-nucleotide ribosomal RNA is filed under the name uncultured bacterium. Its description in RNAcentral is "partial 16S ribosomal RNA". It matches the Rfam family "Bacterial small subunit ribosomal RNA", at positions 524 to 776 of the family's 1533-position model. The record is from RNAcentral.